UUGAUAGAGGAGCAAAUUUCAAAAGUACUCUAGCUUAGGGGGCACCUGUUUGAAGCUAUAGGAAAGGGGUAAUUUGCCGAAACACACGAAGAGGCGUCUUUGUGGAGUUGGGAUAUAGUCAUAAUAGGCUAUAUACUCCUACAAUUUAU
RNAcentral lists this non-coding RNA (149 nucleotides) under bovine gut metagenome. RNAcentral's name for it is "Lysine riboswitch". It matches the Rfam family "Lysine riboswitch aptamer", at positions 5 to 156 of the family's 182-position model. From Rfam's summary of the family: Riboswitches are metabolite binding domains within certain messenger RNAs that serve as precision sensors for their corresponding targets. Allosteric rearrangement of mRNA structure is mediated by ligand binding, and this results in modulation of gene expression. This family includes riboswitches that sense lysine in a number of genes involved in lysine metabolism, including lysC. The record is from RNAcentral.